Molecule: ribosomal RNA, 501 nt
Filed under: Salmonella enterica subsp. enterica serovar Virchow
Lineage: Bacteria; Pseudomonadati; Pseudomonadota; Gammaproteobacteria; Enterobacterales; Enterobacteriaceae
Description: partial 23S ribosomal RNA
Rfam family: Bacterial large subunit ribosomal RNA
Source: RNAcentral
ACACGGUGGAUGCCCUGGCAGUCAGAGGCGAUGAAGGGCGUGCUAAUCUGCGAUAAGCGCCGGUAAGGUGAUAUGAACCGUUAUAACCGGCGAUACCCGAAUGGGGAAACCCAGUGUGACUCGUCACACUAUCAUUAACUGAAUCCAUAGGUUAAUGAGGCGAACCGGGGGAACUGAAACAUCUAAGUACCCCGAGGAAAAGAAAUCAACCGAGAUUCCCCCAGUAGCGGCGAGCGAACGGGGAGGAGCCCAGAGCCUGAAUCAGCAUGUGUGUUAGUGGAAGCGUCUGGAAAGGCGCGCGAUACAGGGUGACAGCCCCGUACACAAAAGCGCAUGUGCUGUGAGCUCGAUGAGUAGGGCGGGACACGUGGUAUCCUGUCUGAAUAUGGGGGGACCAUCCUCCAAGGCUAAAUACUCCUGACUGACCGAUAGUGAACCAGUACCGUGAGGGAAAGGCGAAAAGAACCCCGGCGAGGGGAGUGAAAAAGAACCUGAAACCGU